AACGAACGCUGGCGGCAGGCUUAACACAUGCAAGUCGAACGAUAUAGUGGCAGACGGGUGAGUAACACGUGGGAACAUGCCUUUCACUAAGGAAUAGCUUUUGGAAACGAAAGGUAAUACCUUAUACGCCCUCCGGGGGAAAGAUUUAUCGGUGAAAGAUUGGCCCGCGUUAGAUUAGCUAGUUGGUGAGGUAAUGGCUCACCAAGGCUACGAUCUAUAGCUGGUCUGAGAGGACGACCAGCCACACUGGGACUGAGACACGGCCCAGACUCCUACGGGAGGCAGCAGUGGGGAAUAUUGCACAAUGGGCGAAAGCCUGAUGCAGCCAUGCCGCGUGAAUGAUGAAGGCCUUAGGGUUGUAAAAUUCUUUCGCUAGGGAUGAUAAUGACAGUACCUAGUAAAGAAGCCCCGGCUAACUUCG
RNAcentral lists this ribosomal RNA (421 nucleotides) under uncultured Hyphomonadaceae bacterium. RNAcentral's name for it is "bacterial SSU rRNA". It matches the Rfam family "Bacterial small subunit ribosomal RNA", at positions 29 to 505 of the family's 1533-position model. The record is from RNAcentral. Lineage: Bacteria; Pseudomonadati; Pseudomonadota; Alphaproteobacteria; Hyphomonadales; Hyphomonadaceae.